Molecule: transfer RNA, 64 nt
Filed under: Scorpiops tibetanus
Lineage: Eukaryota; Metazoa; Arthropoda; Arachnida; Scorpiones; Euscorpiidae
Description: tRNA-Phe
Source: RNAcentral
ACUCAAAAUAGCUUAAAUUAUAAAGCAAAUCAUUGAAGCUGAUUAGAUGUUAAAACUAUGAGUA